This 789-nucleotide ribosomal RNA is filed under the name uncultured Methanomicrobiaceae archaeon. Its description in RNAcentral is "bacterial SSU rRNA". It matches the Rfam family "Archaeal small subunit ribosomal RNA", at positions 85 to 879 of the family's 1478-position model. Lineage: Archaea; Methanobacteriati; Methanobacteriota; Methanomicrobia; Methanomicrobiales; Methanomicrobiaceae. The record is from RNAcentral.
ACUGCUCAGUAACACGUGGAUAACCUGCCCUGCGGUGGGAAAUAACCCCGGGAAACUGGGGAUAAUGUCCCAUAGGCUACGGAUGCUGGAAUGCUCUGUAGCUCAAAGAUUUAUCGCCACAGGAUGGGUCUGCGGCCGAUUAGGUAGUUGUUGGGGUAACGGCCCAACAAGCCUUUGAUCGGUACGGGUUGUGGGAGCAAGAGCCCGUAGAUGGAUUCUGAGACACGAAUCCAGGCCCUACGGGGCGCAGCAGGCGCGAAAACUUUACAAUGCGGGAAACCGUGAUAAGGGAACUCCGAGUGUCCGUGAAUGCGGACUGUCCGUAUGUUUAAAAAGCAUGCGAAGAAAGGGCCGGGCAAGACCGGUGCCAGCCGCCGCGGUAAUACCGGCGGCUCGAGUGGUGGCCACUAUUACUGGGCUUAAAGCGUUCGUAGCUGGGUUGUUAAGUUUCUUGGGAAAUCUACCGGUUUAACCGAUAGGCGUCCAAGGGAUACUGGCAAUCUAGGGACCGGGAGAGGUGAGGGGUACUUCAGGGGUAGGAGUGAAAUCCUGUAAUCCUUGGGGGACCACCUGUGGCGAAGGCGCCUCACCAGAACGGCUCCGACAGUGAGGGACGAAAGCUGGGGGAGCAAACCGGAUUAGAUACCCGGGUAGUCCCAGCCGUAAACGAUGCGCGUUAGGUGUAUCGAUGACCACGAGUCAUCGAGGUGCCGAAGGGAAACCGUGAAACGCGCCGCCUGGGAAGUACGGUCGCAAGGCUGAAACUUAAAGGAAUUGGCGGGGGAGCAC